Ataeniobius toweri is the source of this 79-nucleotide non-coding RNA. The record is from the annotation of a GenBank genome assembly. Lineage: Eukaryota; Metazoa; Chordata; Actinopteri; Cyprinodontiformes; Goodeidae.
GCGACUGUGGCUCAAUAGGAAGAGUAGUUGUCUUGCAAACAUAAGGUUGUGGGUUCAAUUCCAGUUCCCUCCUGCCAUA